Molecule: transfer RNA, 64 nt
Filed under: Scaphisoma boleti
Lineage: Eukaryota; Metazoa; Arthropoda; Insecta; Coleoptera; Staphylinidae
Description: tRNA-Arg
Source: RNAcentral
UAAUAAGACACAAUUAAUUGUAUUUAGUUUCGACCUAAAACCUAGGCUGGCGGGCCCUUAUUUU